This 538-nucleotide ribosomal RNA is filed under the name uncultured Thiorhodospira sp. RNAcentral describes it as "bacterial SSU rRNA". It matches the Rfam family "Bacterial small subunit ribosomal RNA", at positions 9 to 538 of the family's 1533-position model. The record is from RNAcentral. Lineage: Bacteria; Pseudomonadati; Pseudomonadota; Gammaproteobacteria; Chromatiales; Ectothiorhodospiraceae.
GAGUUUGAUUCUGGCUCAGAUUGAACGCUGGCGGCAUGCCUAACACAUGCAAGUCGAACGGUAACGCGAAGAGCUUGCUCUUUGGCGACGAGUGGCGGACGGGUGAGUAAUACUUAGGAAUCUGCCCAGUAGUGGGGGACAACUCGGGGAAACUCGAGCUAAUACCGCAUACGCCCUAUGGGGGAAAGCGGGGGAUCUUCGGACCUCGCGCUAUUGGAUGAGCCUAAGUCGGAUUAGCUUGUUGGUGAGGUAAAAGCUCACCAAGGCGACGAUCCGUAGCUGGUCUGAGAGGACGAUCAGCCACACUGGGACUGAGACACGGCCCAGACUCCUACGGGAGGCAGCAGUGGGGAAUAUUGGACAAUGGGCGAAAGCCUGAUCCAGCAAUGCCGCGUGUGUGAAGAAGGCCUGCGGGUUGUAAAGCACUUUCAGUAGAGAAGAAAAGCUCAAGGUUAAUAACCGUGAGUCUUGACGUAACCUACAGAAGAAGCACCGGCUAACUCCGUGCCAGCAGCCGCGGUAAUACGGAGGGUGCAAG